GACGAACGCUGGCGGCGUGCUUAACACAUGCAAGUCGAACGGAAAGGCCCUGCUUUUGUGGGGUGCUCGAGUGGCGAACGGGUGAGUAACACGUGAGUAACCUGCCCUUGACUUUGGUAUAACUUCAGGAAACUGGGGCUAAUACCGGAUAGGAGCUCCUGCUGCAUGGUGGGGGUUGGAAAGUUUCGGCGGUUGGGGAUGGACUCGCGGCUUAUCAGCUUGUUGGUGGGGUAGUGGCUUACCAAGGCUUUGACGGGUAGCCGGCCUGAGAGGGUGACCGGCCACAUUGGGACUGAGAUACGGCACAGACUCAUACGGGAGGCAGCAGUGGGGAAUAUUGCAAAAUGGGCGGAAGCCUGAUGGAGCAACGCCGCGUGCGGGAUGACGGCCUUCGGGUUGUAAACCGCUUUAGCCUGUGACGAAGCGUGAGUGACGGUAAUGGGUAAAGAAGCACCGGCUAAGUACGUG
Molecule: ribosomal RNA, 468 nt
Filed under: uncultured bacterium
Lineage: Bacteria
Description: partial 16S ribosomal RNA
Rfam family: Bacterial small subunit ribosomal RNA
Source: RNAcentral